RNAcentral lists this microRNA precursor (69 nucleotides) under Chlorocebus sabaeus (green monkey). RNAcentral's name for it is "miRNA (ENSCSAG00000027799.1)". Lineage: Eukaryota; Metazoa; Chordata; Mammalia; Primates; Cercopithecidae. The record is from RNAcentral.
CCAGCCCCUCGGCCUUGUUCUGUCUCUCAAAGGCAUUGAGAUCCAGUACGCUGAGGAAAAGAAAGGAAA